This 922-nucleotide ribosomal RNA is filed under the name Subulicium sp. GEL4808. Its description in RNAcentral is "eukaryotic LSU rRNA". It matches the Rfam family "Eukaryotic large subunit ribosomal RNA", at positions 62 to 961 of the family's 3401-position model. The record is from RNAcentral. Lineage: Eukaryota; Fungi; Basidiomycota; Agaricomycetes; Hymenochaetales.
AAACUAACAAGGAUUCCCCUAGUAACUGCGAGUGAAGCGGGAUGAGCUCAAAUUUAAAAUCUGGCGGCUUCUAGUCGUCCGAGUUGUAAGCUGGAGAAGCGUUUUCCGCGUCGGACCGUGUACAAGUCUCUUGGAACAGAGCGUCAUAGAGGGUGAGAAUCCCGUCCAUGACACGGACCGCCGAUGCUUUGUGAUWCGCUCUCGAAGAGUCGAGUUGUUUGGGAAUGCAGCUCAAAAUGGGUGGUAAAUUCCAUCUAAAGCUAAAUAUUGGCGAGAGACCGAUAGCGAACAAGUACCGUGAGGGAAAGAUGAAAAGCACUUUGGAAAGAGAGUUAAACAGUACGUGAAAUUGUUGAAAGGGAAACGCUUGAAGUCAGUCGCGUCGUCCGGGACUCAGCCUCGCUUCUGCAAGGUGUACUUUCCGGUUGACGGGCCAACAUCGAUUUCGAUCGGCGGACAAGGGCGCGGGGAAGGUGGCACCCUCUCGGGGGUGUGUUAUAGCCUCGCGUCGCAUACGUCGGUCGGGAUCGAGGACCGCAGCAUGCCUUCACAGGCCGGGGCUUCGGCCCACGUAACAUGCUUAGGAUGUUGGCAUAAUGGCUUUAAGCGACCCGUCUUGAAACACGGACCAAGGAGUCUAACAUGCCCGCGAGUGUUAGGGUGGAAAACCCUUGCGCGUAAUGAAAGUGAAAGUUGGGACCUCUGUCGAGGAGGGCACCGACGCCCGGCCCUGAACUUCUGUGACGGUGCUGCGGUGGAGCGUGCAUGUUGGGACCCGAAAGAUGGUGAACUAUGCCUGAAUAGGGCGAAGCCAGAGGAAACUCUGGUGGAGGCUCGUAGCGAUUCUGACGUGCAAAUCGAUCGUCAAAUUUGGGUAUAGGGGCGAAAGACUAAUCGAACCAUGCYAGUAGCUGGUUCUNNN